AGGAGGAACAGCCCCAGUGGCGGGGCAGCUCUGGAGCCCUGGAUUCAGCUCCGGCAGGAACUCCGGAGCUCUCCGUCUGCAGGGCCUGGAGGCUCCCGGGCGGG
This 104-nucleotide microRNA precursor is filed under the name Canis lupus dingo (dingo). RNAcentral's name for it is "mir-8834 microRNA precursor family". It matches the Rfam family "mir-8834 microRNA precursor family". The record is from Rfam by way of RNAcentral. Lineage: Eukaryota; Metazoa; Chordata; Mammalia; Carnivora; Canidae.